RNAcentral lists this microRNA precursor (83 nucleotides) under Nomascus leucogenys (northern white-cheeked gibbon). RNAcentral's name for it is "miRNA (ENSNLEG00000031128.1)". Lineage: Eukaryota; Metazoa; Chordata; Mammalia; Primates; Hylobatidae. The record is from RNAcentral.
UUAGGUUGGUGCAAAAGUAAUUGUGGUUGUUGCCAUUGAAAGUAAUGGCCAAAACCGUAAUUACUUUUUCACCAACCUAAUAA